Molecule: long non-coding RNA, 861 nt
Organism: Hippopotamus amphibius kiboko
Lineage: Eukaryota; Metazoa; Chordata; Mammalia; Artiodactyla; Hippopotamidae
Exons: 3
Source: RefSeq, a predicted model, not a curated record
GGCUGGGGUGAUUGAUCCUGAUUACCAAGCGGAAAUUGGACUGUUACUCCACAGUGAAGGUAAGGAAGAAUGUGUCUGGGAUACAGGAGAUCCCUUAGGACAUCUCUUAGUAUUACCUUGCCUAGUGAUUAAGGUCAAUGGAAAACUACAACAACCCAACCCAGGCAGGACUACCAAUAGCCCAGAUCCUUCAGGAAUGAAGGCUUGGUUCAACCCAUUGGAUAAAAACACCAUGAUCCACUGAGGUGCUUGCUGAAGGCGAAGGGAAUACAGAAUGGAUAGUGGAAGAAGCACUAAUAUAGACACUACCUAGAGUCUCUGGCAAGUUGUAAUAGAAGAACCACAGUGUAGACCCCAAGUUUCUGGAGCAGCCAUCUACGGCUGAUGGCUACAUCUACAGCAUUCGCAAAGCAGCUUCUGAUCUGCUACUGGAUCUGGUAUGCAUAUUCUGUCCUUCCUGCAGUUCCUCAGCAUUUCUGCUAUCCAAGAGCUCACAGAGUAUCUGAUUUAUUGACGUGAGAUCCGGCGUGACAUUUCUUUGAGCCAAGGGACCUACCUUACAGCAAAGGAGGUGUAGCAAAGGAAAUGACCAUGGUACCCCCUCCUACCACAUCCUACAUCAUCCGUCACCCAAAGCUGCGGCCUGAUAAAACUUUGGAAUCAUCUCUUAUAAGUAUGACUAAGGCACCAGCUUUGAAAUGAUACCCUCUAAGUAUAGGUCUCUGCCUUUCAGGAUGCAGUGUAUACUUUGUAAUAGUUAAUUUUAAUGUGUCAGUUUGUCUAGGCCAUGCUUCCAGAUAUUUAGUCAAAUAUGAUUCUGAAUUUUUCUGUGAGAAUGUUUUUGGAUGAGAUUAAAAUUUA